Molecule: long non-coding RNA, 4159 nt
Organism: Fukomys damarensis (Damara mole-rat)
Lineage: Eukaryota; Metazoa; Chordata; Mammalia; Rodentia; Bathyergidae
Exons: 7
Source: RefSeq, a predicted model, not a curated record
CUUUUCAUCCUUUUGUAAAUCAAAGAGUAAAACAAAUGGAGAAGAUAGAGAAAAUAACAUUAAUGACUUCAUCUUAUGACCCUUUUGUCUGUGACAUUAAAGGAAGACUGAAGACAACUGGUCUAGUGGCUGGACUUCAGAUGAUUAAAAAUACUUUGCAAGAAAUAAGCUUGGAUUUGCAAACCAACAACAAGAUAACUUCCUUUGAUCAUCACCAGCCAAGGUGGAUGCUGCUGUGUGUAGCUCUGGAUGCUGGCUGUCACGCUUGUGAAGCAGAGAGCCCCACAGAAGGCAAUGUGGAACUCGCCGCAUACAAGGGGAUGCAAAAUCAUGAUAGCAACCACUUGUGGAGCACAUUCUACGGCAGAGGCUUUAGCUAGAUCAAUCUUCCUUCCUCCUCAGAACAACCCUAGAGUAGAUACCAUCACUGUCAUCGCCAUUUUAUUCACGGAAGCUAAGUUUUGAACUUAAAGUGUCUGUCUCCAGGGCCCAUUCCCAUCAAAACCACGUCAGAAGCCUGGCCCAAAUCUGCAGCUUCCGUCAAGGCCCGUUACCUGCUGUCAAGCCCCAAGAUUAAAUGACUCAUCCUCCACCAAGCUUGCCCUGAGCAACAGGAGAUCUUUCCAUUAUUUUAAAUCCUCCCCACACACUGCAUCUUCUCUCUGUCUCGUUUUCAUCAUUAUCUCAGAUCCCUCUGAAGCCACACUCUUUACACUGGAAACCCCUUGCGGGUUCUCAACCUGGCUGUGCCACUCGGGAGCGGGUGGUCCCAGGCCAGUUACUUUGAGAAUGGAAAUGUGACUUUGGCCUGUUGCUGUGGGUGUGUGUGGUCUUCAAAAUGCUGUGUAACUCCGGUCCACAGGGCCCUAGACACUCAGAAGGGUCAAGAGCUAUAAAGGUCCCAGGUGCCUGCACCAACUCAAAUGAUUGGUAUUUUGGUUAUAAGAAAACAAUGGGUGCGAAUGUUCUUUAUAAAAGCAUUCCAAGCAUUUCUGUUUUGAUUUCUGUGUCUCUUAGCUGUCUCAAAGCCUAUCUUAGUCUCGUAUAUGUAGUAUAUCUCUGAAUUAAUGGGUGAAUGAAUGAAUACUCACCUGGUCCUUUUCCCCAGCUUCCUACAGGGGAAUGGCAAAACCAAUAAUUCCCCAUUUUGGUAGAAUGAUCAAAUCCUGGGCCAUCUCUGUUUCCUUGGUAGGAAGAGGCUUAUGAACUUCAGCAGUUCCUAAACUGUACUUGCCUUUGAUCCAUGUAUUUGCACACCCAGUGCUAGGUCACAGGUGUCUUCAGACAGAUGGAGACCGGGUCCUUGCCCAAAGGAGCUGGGUCGGGCCAGGUGACCCUUAGCUUUCUUGGGCCACCUGGCUCAGGUGAGCUGAUAGGUGGUGUGCUCCGCUCUGUGCAGCCCCAGUAACGGCCUGGCUCCCCGACAGCUCUGCGUGGCCCUUCUUCCCCCAGGAAAGCAGCGUCUCCCUGAGCUUCCGUUGCUCGGAGCCGGUCUACCUGCCCGACACCCAGAGGCAGGUUCGGAAGUUCGGAACGUUCUUUUUGUCCUUCUGUUCCGUCUUCCGUCGCUACCGUGCCGACAGCUGCGGGAACACAUGGCGCUGGCUUGGCAGCUGCGGCGCACAGAUGCUGAGCUCUGUAAUGUCCUCCCUCUGCCGCUGCUCCGCAGCCUGUCUCUGGCUGCUGCCUGGGGGAGGGUGCGCUACGAGGCGCGAGUGGAGUGUGACGCCUGGGGGACUGCGCGCUGAGCAGGCAGGGUCUCUGAUUUUCUCAAGGGUGAGAAUUAGAUGUUGUUCAACUCUGUGUCCCCACCAUGGAGCAGGAAGUCAGGAAAUGUUAGCAGUGGCACCCAGAGCAAGUGUCCACCUGGAAAUGCUGCCAGGUCCAGGACCUCAAAGCACAUACGCCAAGCAAGGGCUCUGCCCCUGGACCGCAUCGCUGGGGACUGUUGUAGACAGCUGUUAAUAGUCACCCGCUGUCCAUGCAGCUGAUAUUCUGGUUUAAGAACCAGAACUACUGAGCUGAGCACCAGGAACCACGUCUCCUACUACCAGAGUCUUGUACGCAUUCCUCAUGAAGCUGCUUUUUCUGAUUACAACAUCUCACUGGGCCUCUUUGCAGUUUUCUGAGUCAUAAAACCAUUGAUUCUUCUAAAUGAUCCACGAAGGAACUUCUGGUCUUGAUUUGCUUUCUCAUGUGAGUAGCAGCACCCAGAUGCUGCCGUUUGUACGAUCAAGAAGCAAAUGUGCCUAUGGGAGGGGCACUGGGCGAGGCACUGGAAGACCCAGCUUCCCGUCUGGAUCAGCCACUUGCUGGACAACAGAGGUAUUUACCUGUGCUGGGCAACAGAGUGGGAGCUAAGAAUGGCCGGGAGUACAGCGAGGAGCAGAGGAGACCAUGGCAUUUAUAGUCACCAAACCCUGAGCGCUCACUGCGUUUCCUGCCAUUCUAAUACAAUCUAGGAAGCACUUUUGAAUUGAAGAUUGUGGUGUUCCUAUGAGUUUGGACCACGUGAGCCAGUUUUGCUACACUCAGGCUGAAUACUCGGAUUCCAGAGCUGGGGCCCCAAACCCUGUGUGGCAGAGAACAGACGCCCCUGUCCUCCCUCUCAGGCCUCACCUGGCUUUUGGCCUCCCUCUUCCCACGAUCACAUGAACAGCAGGUCUGUUCAGAGUUGCUCCUGAAUGCGAAAGCCAGCAAAGGCCAAGAGGCCACACUGAAGCCCCUGAGAAUCUCUGCAGAGCCGGGUCCCUACGAAGCCAGUUGUUUGCAGCAGUGGGGUGUUGGGAAGGCUCCGGACUCCACGGGAGGAGAAACGUUUCUGUGCAGUAAAGAAGGCGAUGAAAGGGUCUCCCUGAUUCUGUGCUCCGGGAGAUGCUCUGCCCCUUCUGCCUCCCGAGGCCAUUGUGGAAGAACAUCAAGGAGCACAGACAAAGCGAGGACCCCAGUGUGGGACGCAGGCUGGCUGACACACGCCAGCAGAGGUGUCGGCACGCUGGAGGACCCGAGGGAGGGGACCCCGAACUCCAGGAGCAGCUGGUCCUUCCUCAGCAGUGCCCCUGCGGUGCUCAGAAGAGCCCCAGUGAGAACCUGCUUGUCCUGGAGGAGAGGGAAUUGAAAAGACACCUCACCCCGAGGACUCCCGGCUUGUGGUGGAAAAUUCUCUCUGAAACCGGAAGCAGCUAUAGAAUCAGCAGCAGAGCCUCCAGAAGCACCGAGUCCAGUGGUUACCAGAUGAAGCUCCCAUCUUGUACUACAUCUUGAAAGCACAGGUGUGCUGCCCCAGAACUUCAGGAAGUAGUGCAGAUGUUUCUUUGUCAUUAGCAUCACCCUGGUAACAUAAUUAGCAUGUACAGUUAAAGGUGAAGAGUAAUCUUGAAGACAUCAAAUAGUCCUUUUCACAGUGGGAGGCAAGCGGUCGGCUAGGUGGUUCAGAAAAGACUGCCGAACCACUCUGCAUGUUUGAGCUAAUGAGGAGGUCAGGGGUCCGGCAUCAGAAGCAGUUGGUGACGCCACGGAAUGUGACUAUAGACUGUACCCUGUUCACUGCUGCUCUCUCGCAAAGGACACAAAGUUUGCCAAUGUGAUAUCCAAAUGCAACAUGCUAAAAUGAUGAUCACUUAUGUGAAAGCUUGCUCAUAAAUACUACUACACAAAUAUUUAUUGCAGCUUGGAUCAUAAUAACCUUUGCUUUUGUUGCAUUGUGCUUUGUUUGGGAUUUGUUGGCUUCAUUUAAAAAUAAUAAUAAUUCAUUCUUGGCAGGAGCGUGAAUCUGAGGGUUUUGGCAAAUGCAAAGAGUCACUAAAGUACCACCACAGUCAUGACCUGGAGUGGUUUCAUCCCCUCUCUUGACCCUAGUCUUCCUCGGUCACCUUUAUGUUCUGCCUCUUCUUUGGUUCCCAAGGCCAGCUAGCCGCUGAUCAGCCUCCUGGGUUUUCCAGUGUGCUCUACCGAGGGACCCGUAUGGCACAUGUGCUUUGCCUUUCAGUGUACAGGGCGGUGUGACCUCUCCGCUGAAGGUAUCGGUGGUUUGCUCUUUCUCGCUGCUGAGCGGUGACCCCUGGGCAUUGCCACAGCUUGGUGAAGUUCACUCAGUUGUGUUCCAUUUGGGGCUGGGAUGAUAAAGCUGUGAUGAGCACCAGUGAAAGAUUGUAUGCGA